This 692-nucleotide ribosomal RNA is filed under the name uncultured bacterium. RNAcentral describes it as "bacterial SSU rRNA". It matches the Rfam family "Bacterial small subunit ribosomal RNA", at positions 1 to 687 of the family's 1533-position model. The record is from RNAcentral.
AGAUUAGAGUUUGAUCCUGGCUCAGGACGAACGCUGGCGGCGGGCUUAACACAUGCAAGUCGAAGGAGAAGGUAGAAGCUUGCUUUUACUGGAGACUGGCGGACGGGUGAGUAACGCGUAGAUAACCUGCCUAUAGCUGGGGGAUAACACUGCGAAAGUGGUGCUAAUACCGCAUAAUGCAGCGGGGCCGCAUGGCCAUAGUUGUUAAAGGUUUCGACCGGCUAUAGAUGGGUCUGCGUGCUAUUAGUUAGUUGGUAGGGUAACGGCCUACCAAGGCGAUGAUAGCUAGGGGGUCUGAGAGGAUGAUCCCCCACACUGGGACUGAGACACGGCCCAGACUCCUACGGGAGGCAGCAGUGAGGAAUCUUGCGCAAUGGGCGAAAGCCUGACGCAGCCACGCCGCGUGCCGGAUGAAGGCCCUAUGGGUUGUAAACGGCUUUUACUAGGGAAGAACGAGAGGGUUUCGAUCUUCUGUGACGGUACCUAGUGAAUAAGCACCGGCUAACUCCGUGCCAGCAGCCGCGGUAAUACGGAGGGUGCAAGCGUUGUCCGGAAUCAUUGGGUGUAAAGGGUACGUAGGCGGGAGCCUAAGUCUGGGGUGAAAUCUUGCCGCUUAACGGUAAAAUGGCCCUGGAUACUGGGUUUCUUGAGUGCAGAAGAGGCAGGUGGAAUUCGUGGUGUAGCGGUGAAAU